RNAcentral lists this long non-coding RNA (1110 nucleotides) under Equus caballus (horse). RNAcentral's name for it is "lncRNA (ENSECAG00000051439.1)". The record is from RNAcentral. Lineage: Eukaryota; Metazoa; Chordata; Mammalia; Perissodactyla; Equidae.
GGGAUGGGAAGAAACUGCGUUUCACAGAUCUUUGUGAGAGAUGUUCCCGGUAGCUGUAAGAGCACUGUGGAGAGUGAGUUGUUUCUUAGCUUCCCAAAGAGCUGGAAGCAAGACCGUUUGUGGCUUGUCUCCUUUGGUGGCAAUGACUCAGCGUUUUGUGUCUUCCAUCACUAGACUAAUUUGGGACAUGGCUUAGAGCAGACGUUCCAAGGCAGUGAGAUCAUGGCUGGAAACAAACUGCAUUUCAGGCCUUAAUAUGAGAGUUUCCCAAUAGGCUGUAAGAGCGCUGUUGAAAGCGAGUUCUUUCUCACCUUCCCAAAGAGCUGGAAGCGACACGGUCUGUUGCAUGUCUCAUUUUAAGGAAGACAGGGAGGCCAUUGUGACUUCCAACUCUAGGGAAAUGUAUUACACGGCAGAGCAGAAGUUCUACUUCAGUGAGAUCAGGGCUGGGAGGAAACUGCGUUUCAAAGGCCUUUGUAAGAGAUGUCCCCGGUAGGCUGUAAGAGCACUGUGUAGAGCAAGUUGUUUCUUAGCUUCCAAAACAGCUGGAAGCAAGGCCGUUUGUUGGUUGUCUCAUUUGGUGGGAAGGAGUCAGCGCUUUGUGUGUUCCACCUCUAGAUCAAUGUAGGACAUGGCUUAGAGCAGAAGUUCCAAGGCGGUGAGCUCAUGGCUGGAAACAAACUGCAUUUCAGGCCUAAGUAUGAGAGGUUCCUGGUAGGCUGUAAGAGCCAUGUGGAAAGCGAGUUCAUUCUCAACUUGCCAAAGACUGGAAGUGAGACGGUCUGAGGCCUGUCUCCCCUUAAGGAAGCCGGGCAGGCCAUUGAGACUUCCACCUCUAGGUCAAUGUAUUACAACGAAGAUCAGAAGUUCUACUUCAGUGAGAUCAGGCCUUGGAAGAAACUGCGUUUCACAGGCCUUUGUGAGAGAUGUUCCCACUAGGCUGUAAGAGCACAUUGGAGAGCGAGUUGUUUCUUAGCUUCCCAAAGAGCUGGAAGCAAGACGCUUGUGGUCUGUCUCCCCUUGAGGAAACAAGGCAGGACUUUGUAUCUUGCACUUCUAGGGCAACAUAGAACACGGCAACGCAGAAGUUCUACUUCAGUGAGAUCAUGG